Molecule: unclassified non-coding RNA, 377 nt
Filed under: plant metagenome
Description: partial contains 5.8S ribosomal RNA, internal transcribed spacer 2, and large subunit ribosomal RNA
Rfam family: 5.8S ribosomal RNA (bases 1-104)
Source: RNAcentral
AAAUGCGAUAAGUAAUGUGAAUUGCAGAAUUCAGUGAAUCAUCGAAUCUUUGAACGCACCUUGCGCUCCUUGGUAUUCCUUGGAGCAUGCCUGUUUGAGUAUCAUGAAAUCUUCAAAGUGAAUCUUUUGUUAACUCAAUUGGUUUCUACUUUGGUAUUGGAGGUCUUUGCAGCUUCACACCUGCUCCUCUUUGUUCAUUAGCUGGAUCUCAGUGUUAUGCUUGGUUCCACUCGGCGUGAUAAGUUAUCUAUCGCUGAGGACACUGUAAAAGGUGGCCAAGGUAAAUGCAGAUGAACCGCUUCUAAUAGUCCAUUGACUUGGACAAUACUUUUAUGAUCUGAUCUCAAAUCAGGUAGGACUACCCGCUGAACUUAAGC